UACAGAGGGUGCGAGCGUUGUUCGGAAUCACUGGGCGUAAAGCGCGCGUAGGCGGCUUUUCAAGUCAGGGGUGAAAUCCCACAGCUCAACUGUGGAACUGCCUUUGAAACUGGAAAGCUGGAGUGUCGGAGGGGAUAGCGGAAUUGCUAAUGUAGAGGUGAAAUUCGUAGAUAUUAGCAGGAACACCGGUGGCGAAGGCGGCUAUCUGGACGACAACUGACGCUGAGGCGCGAAAGCGUGGGGAUCAAACAGG
RNAcentral lists this ribosomal RNA (253 nucleotides) under uncultured bacterium. RNAcentral's name for it is "partial 16S ribosomal RNA". It matches the Rfam family "Bacterial small subunit ribosomal RNA", at positions 524 to 776 of the family's 1533-position model. The record is from RNAcentral.